This 287-nucleotide unclassified non-coding RNA is filed under the name Orbiliomycetes sp. Its description in RNAcentral is "partial contains 5.8S ribosomal RNA, internal transcribed spacer 2, and large subunit ribosomal RNA". Lineage: Eukaryota; Fungi; Ascomycota; Orbiliomycetes. The record is from RNAcentral.
CGCACAUUGCGCCUGCUGGUAUUCCGGUAGGCAUGCCUGUUUGAGCGUCAGCAAAACUCCUCAGCAUGAAAUUUUUUGUGUUGGUUAUGGGUAGUGGAGAAUGAGCCUAAACCGUUCGCUCCCGUCUUAAACUUGCUGCACGACCGCAAGCUAAAAGCUAGGUUAAUGGAGUGGUAUUUACAUAUAUUCCAGCAUCUGCUAAUAGCUUUGUGGCGUUAAACAUAAAGUUACCCUCCGGGUAACUGAAGUUUGACCUCAAAUCAGACAAGGAUACCCGCUGAACUUAA